This is a long non-coding RNA of Astatotilapia calliptera (eastern happy), 1213 nucleotides long. The record is from Ensembl. Lineage: Eukaryota; Metazoa; Chordata; Actinopteri; Cichliformes; Cichlidae.
GAUGUUGUUGCACCUCUAAGACUCAGGCAGUGUAAACCCAAGGCCAGUCCUUGGCUAACCGAUUUUACUCGAGCCAUUAGAAGAGAAUGUAGAUGUGAAAGACGAUGGAAAAGGGACAGACUGUACGUCUCUCUGGAAGCUCUUAAGAUGAGCUGUAAAGCUUAUCAGAGGGCAGUAAAGAUUGCCAAAAACUCCUAUUUUUCACAACUUAUUGUUGUUAAUUCACAUAACCCCCGUGUUCUGUAUACCAUUAAUUCUGUACUAAAUGCAGAGGAUCAUGUUCUUUUACAAUCUUCUGAGGUUAUGUGUAAUAAGUUUCUUAAUUCCUUUGUGGAUAAGGUUGCCAGUUUGAUACCCUCCACUUUAUAUUCUGUUGGCCCGGCUGUGCAUGUUCCCUGUUUAAAUUUGCUUAUUGCUUUCAAACCAAUUGUUCUACCUGAAUUAGAGAAGCUUGUGUUAACUGCCAGGGUUUUAAUAGUUUUGCAAUUUUCAUUAGUUUUUAUUUUUAUUUAGUUUUGACUUCAGAUUUUCAAUUUUAUAUCAGUUUUAAUUAGUUUUUACCAAUUGUUUGCUAGUUUAGUUUAUUUUUUAUUUUUUUGAAAAUCCUUAGUUUCAGUUUAUUUUAGCUGUGUUUGCAAUAAUUAAGUGUAACAAAAGGUCAACAGGUCGCCUGUCUGUCGCAGGGCUAACACGCAGAGACAGACAACUCACAUUUCCACCUAUGGGUUCUCAGUGUUGGGGAGUAACGGAAUACAUGUACCGCCGUUACGUAUUUAAAAUACAAAAUAUGAGUAACUGUAUUCCGUUACAGUUACCGUUUAAAAAGGUGGUAUUUAGAAUACAGUUACUUUGUUGAAAUAAAUUGAUUACAGGACGGUACUUUCCUGUUUCAUAUUGUGGCGGGUCAGGACUGUUUGGGUUUUGUUUGACAGCUGUGUUCUGUUGUUCCAGGUGGCAGCGUUACGGUUGCCAUGGUUACAGGGUGACUCUCUCUCUGCGUGUUUCCUGGGUGAGAGAGCGCCUUUUUGUUGUUGUUGUGCUAAGCUAAUAGGCAGAAUGCUACAGAUAUAGCUCUAAAGAAUGUAGCAUCAUAGGCAGUGUAGUCCGUGCUGCAGGGAGAAUGGACUGCCAUACCCGUUAUGUGUCUGUGAGCGAGGGAGGGAAAAAAAAGGAAAAGUACAAGCUGUCAAUGAGCAGAAACGAGAGCUGGAAG